Molecule: transfer RNA, 70 nt
Filed under: Dipodomys ordii (Ord's kangaroo rat)
Lineage: Eukaryota; Metazoa; Chordata; Mammalia; Rodentia; Heteromyidae
Rfam family: tRNA
About the family: Transfer RNA (tRNA) molecules are approximately 80 nucleotides in length. Their secondary structure includes four short double-helical elements and three loops (D, anti-codon, and T loops).
Source: Rfam by way of RNAcentral
GGGAAUGUGGCUUAGUGGUAGAGUUCUUGCCUAACAUGCAUGAAGCCCUGAGUUCAAUUCCUCAGUACCA